Molecule: long non-coding RNA, 1182 nt
Organism: Lolium rigidum
Lineage: Eukaryota; Viridiplantae; Streptophyta; Magnoliopsida; Poales; Poaceae
Exons: 2
Source: RefSeq, a predicted model, not a curated record
UAGAAGCAACUCUCGCGAGAUAGCACAGACAUGUAACUAAAAGCUAAUACUAUACGUAUACACGGUUGGACUGCAUACUUAACAAGUUAACAGUGUCUCACAGUAUCGAAGUUUCACACCAGUUUUACAUAAACGAAUACUGAAAUUUAUGGCAUAAUCCAUUUAUGGAAGUUUUUUUUUUGCAAUUGGUACCUGUGAGUAGCCCAAUAGUUAGGUCUCCUAAAUUACUGAUGGUUAUGUUUUCAGUCACAUUUUCUGUAUAUUUACUUAUUGUGUGGCAUCAGAGCUGCGCCGUAAUUGUUGUUUGUGAUUUAAAUCAUCCCAAGGUGAGAGGCUGCUUUUGGAGAGGUAAUUUCCAUUUUUUUAAUGAUGUAGCUGUGUCGAUUUGCUUCCUUGCUGAUUUCGGUGGUACGCAACCUGUGAUUUGGCGUUGGUUGCUUCUACAUUUCCCACUGGUACUCUUCAGUACCAACCCAUUUGCUACCAAUUUGGAUGACACUAGGCCAGUAGCUAUAAGAGACUCUCUGGUUCUGAAACUAUGGGCAGCUUGUUGCUAGCUUUAGCGACAGGUAGCAAUCUGUGGCUUCGAUGGGUGGCCAGGUCUCCAAAGGUCAACCACUGCCCAUGUACUGACGAAUUACGCAGCACACAACCACUGCCCAUGGCUCUGAUGUGAAUGUGGCAAGGCAACUGAACAAGUUUUCCAUGGCCAGAUCGACGGCAAUGCGAUGCCAUACAAUCACAUGUUAUAACCAAAGCUUAAUUUGCUUCUUAUCUAUAUGUUUGUGUACACUUUUUGAAAUUUCCUUAUAGUUUUUUCUACCAUUUCAGACAUCAAACAUCAAGUGCUCAACAUUAAACGGGAAUGGCAUAUAGCUUCUGCUCUCAACUAAGCAAGCCUGGCAAUUAUGGCAAAUGGAAAGGAACUAGCAUUUCACUCCACAGAUGAUUCUGCCAUUUGGACAAUGUAAUUUGUUACAUAGAUUGUUUCCACUGUUUAUUGUAGGGCAAAUGAGUCCACGCUUGUAGUAGUUCUUAUGGAUGCGAUUGUGCAUCAGUGUUACAAUGCUCUCCAGUCAUCAUGACACUUUAUUUAUGCCAGGAUUCUUAUACUGUGUUGGCACCUGGAAUUCUUAGGUCACAUUUUAUCCAAUUUUUAAUGGGAAGAAAUGUAUUUAAUUA